CUACGGAGGGUGCAAGCGUUAUUCGGAAUCACUGGGCGUAAAGGGUGCGUAGGCGGUUUGAUAAGUCUGAUGUGAAAUCCUAUGGCUCAACCACAGAACUGCAUUGGAAACUGUCAGACUAGAAUACUGAAGGGGCAGAUGGAAUUAGUGGUGUAGGGGUAAAAUCCGUAGAUAUCACUAGGAAUACCGAAAGCGAAAGCGAUCUGCCGGGAAGUUAUUGACGCUGAGGCACGAAAGCGUGGGGAGCAAACAGGAUUAGAAACCCUAGUAGUCC
RNAcentral lists this ribosomal RNA (274 nucleotides) under uncultured bacterium. RNAcentral's name for it is "partial 16S ribosomal RNA". It matches the Rfam family "Bacterial small subunit ribosomal RNA", at positions 523 to 796 of the family's 1533-position model. The record is from RNAcentral.